RNAcentral lists this ribosomal RNA (253 nucleotides) under uncultured bacterium. Its description in RNAcentral is "partial 16S ribosomal RNA". It matches the Rfam family "Bacterial small subunit ribosomal RNA", at positions 524 to 776 of the family's 1533-position model. The record is from RNAcentral.
GACGUAGGGCGCGAGCGUUGUCCGGAUUUAUUGGGCGUAAAGAGCUCGUAGGCGGCUUGUCGCGUCGACUGUGAAAACCCGCGGCUCAACUGUGGGCUUGCAGUCGAUACGGGCAGACUUGAGUUCGGUAGGGGAGACUGGAAUUCCUGGUGUAGCGGUGAAAUGCGCAGAUAUCGUAAGGAAGACCAGUGGCGAAGGCGGGUCUCUGGACAGUUCCUGACGCUGAGGCACGAAGGUCAGGGGAGCAAACGGG